UACGUAGGAUGCAAGCGUUAAUCGGAAUUACUGGGCGUAAAGCGUGCGUAGACGGUUAUUUAAGUCGGGUGUGAAAGCCCCGGGCUCAACCUGGGAAUUGCAUUCGAGACUGAAUAGCUAGGGUACGGUAGAGGGAAGCGGAAUUUCCGGUGUAGCGGUGAAAUGCGUAGAUAUCCGGAGGAACACCAGUGGCGAAGGCGGCCUUCUGGGAUGCUCCUGACGCUCAGACACGAAAGCUAGGGGAGCGAACGGG
Molecule: ribosomal RNA, 253 nt
Filed under: uncultured bacterium
Lineage: Bacteria
Description: partial 16S ribosomal RNA
Rfam family: Bacterial small subunit ribosomal RNA
Source: RNAcentral